Molecule: ribosomal RNA, 691 nt
Filed under: Pseudomonas sp.
Lineage: Bacteria; Pseudomonadati; Pseudomonadota; Gammaproteobacteria; Pseudomonadales; Pseudomonadaceae
Description: bacterial SSU rRNA
Rfam family: Bacterial small subunit ribosomal RNA
Source: RNAcentral
GGCUAUAGAACAAGCUUGCUUCUCUUGAAGAUCGGCGAGCACGGGNUGCAGCUAAUGCCUUAGGUAAUCCUGCCUGGNUANCUGGGGGAUAACGCUUCGGAAAACGGACGCUAAUACCGCAUACGUUCCUACGGGAGAAAGCAGGGGACCUUCNGGCCUUGCGCUAUCAGAUGAGCCUAGGUCGGAUUAGCUANUUGGUGGGGUAAUGGCUCACCAAGGCGACGAUCCGUANCUGGUCUGAGAGGAUGAUCANUCACACUGGAACUGAGACACGGUCCAGACUCCUACGGGAGGCAGCAGUGGGGAAUAUUGGACAAUGGGCGAAAGCCUGAUCCAGCCAUGCCGCGUGUGUGAAGAAGGUCUUCGGAUUGUAAAGCACUUUAAGUUGGGAGGAAGGGCCAUUACCUAAUACGUGAUGGUUUUGACGUUACCGACAGAAUAAGCACCGGCUAACUCUGUGCCAGCAGCCGCGGUAAUACAGAGGGUGCAAGCGUUAAUCGGAAUUACUGGGCGUAAAGCGCGCGUAGGUGGUUUGUUAAGUUGNAUGUGAAAUCCCCGGGCUCAACCUGGGAACUGCAUUCAAAACUGACUGACUAGAGUAUGGUAGAGGGUGGUGGAAUUUCCUGUGUAGCGGUGAAAUGCGUAGAUAUAGGAAGGAACACCAGUGGCGAAGGCGACCACCUGGACUGAU